CCUACGGGUUGCAGCAGUGGGGAAUAUUGCACAAUGGGCGCAAGCCUGAUGCAGCCAUGCCGCGUGUAUGAAGAAGGCCUUCGGGUUGUAAAGUACUUUCAGCGGGGAGGAAGGUGUUGUGGUUAAUAACCUUGUCGAUUGACGUUACCCGCAGAAGAAGCACCGGCUAACUCCGUGCCAGCAGCCGCGGUAAUACGGAGGGUGCAAGCGUUAAUCGGAAUUACUGGGCGUAAAGCGCACGCAGGCGGUCUGUCAAGUCGGAUGUGAGAUCCCCGGGCUCAACCUGGGAACUGCAUUCGAAACUGGCAGGCUAGAGUCUUGUAGAGGGGGGUAGAAUUCCAGGUGUAGCGGUGAAAUGCGUAGAGAUCUGGAGGAAUACCGGUGGCGAAGGCGGCCCCCUGGAUAAAGACUGACGCUCAGGUGCGAAAGCGUGGGGAGCAAACAGGAUUAGAUACCCCUGUAGUC
This 465-nucleotide ribosomal RNA is filed under the name uncultured bacterium. Its description in RNAcentral is "bacterial SSU rRNA". It matches the Rfam family "Bacterial small subunit ribosomal RNA", at positions 338 to 795 of the family's 1533-position model. The record is from RNAcentral.